RNAcentral lists this long non-coding RNA (1197 nucleotides) under Gallus gallus (chicken). RNAcentral's name for it is "lncRNA (ENSGALG00010010277.1)". Lineage: Eukaryota; Metazoa; Chordata; Aves; Galliformes; Phasianidae. The record is from RNAcentral.
CUUUGCAGACUCUGCUAAUGUGUUCCCCUCCUGAAGGAUACAGCCUCUAUGACCGCAGGCCCACAUCUUACUAAUCUACAGCCCUGGAAAUCCACAGAGGCUGCUGUCGCAGAGAAAUGCUCCUCCUUCCUCCAGGCAGCCCUGGGUGAGGACACCUGUGUUGGGUAUCCUAAAACUGCUGCCUCUCUGGUGGAAGAGGAGCCUCCAACCACGAAAUACUACAAACACCACAAUCAGUCCUCAAUAACGUGCUGAAUGCCUGGAAGUCCUAACCCAUGCCACAGGCCUGCCAGAGGGAAAUUUUAAAGUCCAGCAGGAUCUGGGAUGGGAUAUAGGCUGGCAAGGUAAUAAUCACACCCAUUUGACUGAGGAUGCCUUGAAAUGAAACAUGGCAGCUGUGGGAAAGAAGAAAGCAAAUGUUGAUGUGGAGACUGCCCCUCACCACCUCCUUCCUCUGCCAAAAUGCAACAGCAAGGUGAUUUCUGGGAACGUUCAUAGUGUAGGAGUUCUCCGACAGCAGUAAACAAGUUACCUGCACAGAGGUGGCUGCAAAAGCAAACUGAAGUAGGAGUUGAUGAGGGAAAAUCGGAAGGCACAGUUAUCGUCAGUCAGCGAGCCGUGGUCAAGUUCAACAAAAGAUUUAAACAGAGCUCCUUUUGCUUCAGAUGAAAUUCUCAUCUGCACUAUGAUGACUCACAGGCUGCAAACCAAGAAAAAAAGGAGAAGAAAUAAUCACCAGGGAAGGAGUGGUGUACAAAAUGGAGGUCAUUCCAAAAGCAACCUGUGGGAGGAUCCACUCUUGUCCACGUGAAAUCAUAACUGCGGCACAGAGCAGGGAGAGGACGGUGAUGAGGUUAUGCUCCUGUUGCUGCUGACAGACAACAGCCACAACAAAAAAGGCACAGUUACUUAACACAAUCCCUGACGGUGAGCAGACGCUGGCAUUUCAAACCAUAGCUGAGCUGGACCUUAUUCAUCUCCUGGCAUGAGCACUUCUUUCAGGGGGAAAAUGUUUAUUUCAGGCAUGGGAACAGCCAGGUGGAGAAACAAAGACUUACCCUAAGCCACCAUUUCAAAUCCAUGGUGGAGACAGCAACAAAUGUCAGGGGACUGCCAGUCCCUCGUUCCAACCACAAGGCAAUUCCUGUUUCCCAGUGACUUCAAUAGCUGGCCAAGACCAAGCACUGUGGCACUACA